CAGCCGCCGCGGUAAUACAGAGGGUGCGAGCGUUAAUCGGAAUUACUGGGCGUAAAGCGCGCGUAGGUGGUUUGUUAAGUUGGAUGUGAAAUCCCCGGGCUCAACCUGGGAACUGCAUCCAAAACUGGCAAGCUAGAGUAUGGUAGAGGGUGGUGGAAUUUCCUGUGUAGCGGUGAAAUGCGUAGAUAUAGGAAGGAACACCAGUGGCGAAGGCGACCACCUGGACUGAUACUGACACUGAGGUGCGAAAGCGUGGGGAGCAAACAGGAUUAGAUACCCCGGUAGUCCCUGUCUCUUAUAC
Molecule: ribosomal RNA, 301 nt
Filed under: uncultured bacterium
Lineage: Bacteria
Description: partial 16S ribosomal RNA
Rfam family: Bacterial small subunit ribosomal RNA
Source: RNAcentral